Molecule: ribosomal RNA, 896 nt
Filed under: uncultured Acidobacteriota bacterium
Lineage: Bacteria; Pseudomonadati; Acidobacteriota
Description: bacterial SSU rRNA
Rfam family: Bacterial small subunit ribosomal RNA
Source: RNAcentral
AGAGUUUGAUCCUGGCUCAGAAUGAAUGCUGGCGGCGUGUCUAACACAUGCAAGUCUAACGGGAAUGUAGGCUUCAGGGGCUUAACACCGGGGGCAACGGGGGGCUUACCACAUUGGUAUCCUACCUCGAGUUUGGGAUAACUUGCCGAAAGGCGGGCUAAUACCCAAUGUGAUUGGUCGCUUAUUGCGAUUAAGUAAAACUAGCGGGCUUUUCUUGGGGCCUAUGCCCUAUCAAUGAGUUGGCGGUGUAUUAGACUACUGGGGCUACAACGGCCAACGGGUGUGACAGCAUGACCCCCCUCUGUGAGGCUGAAACGCUGCCCAGACUCCUACAGGGGGCUGCAAUCCCUAAUAUUCGCCACUGCGCGGAAUUUUGCGGGAUGGACGCCACGUGGAUGCAGAAGCCCUUCGUGACUGAUGAUUGUUUUCUUUUCGACGAACUAUUGACGGGACUAAAAGACUAACGCGCUGCUAUCUUCGUGCCGUCUGCAGCUGUAAUACGAAGGCCCCAAGCCUUAUCCCGAUUUAUUGGGCGUAAAGGGUACUUAGGCGGUUGAUCUGUUCAAUGGUAAAGUCUCCAGGCUCAACCCAGAACCUGCUGUUGAAACUAAUCGACUACAGACUGCUUGACGCUAGUGCAAUUGCUGAUGUAGGGGUAAUAUCCUGUGAUAUCAGAAAGUACACCUCAUGCUAAAGCAACUUGCUACGACAGUUCUGACGCUAAUGUACGAAAGCGUGGGUAGCGAAAGGGAUUAGAUACCCCUGUAGUCCACGCUGUAAACGAUGGAUACUAGACAUUGGAAGUAUCGACCCUUUCAGUGUCGGUGAAACAAGCUAACGCAUUAAGUAUCCGCCUGGGAAGUACGGCCGCAAGGCUAUACUCAACGAACUGACGG